Molecule: ribosomal RNA, 520 nt
Filed under: uncultured bacterium
Lineage: Bacteria
Description: partial 16S ribosomal RNA
Rfam family: Bacterial small subunit ribosomal RNA
Source: RNAcentral
UGGGGAAUUUUGGACAAUGGGGGCAACCCUGAUCCAGCCAUCCCGCGUGUGCGAUGAAGGCCUUCGGGUUGUAAAGCACUUUUGGCAGGGAAGAAACAGCCUGGGAUAAUACCCCCGGGCGACUGACGGUACCUGCAGAAUAAGCACCGGCUAACUACGUGCCAGCAGCCGCGGUAAUACGUAGGGUGCAAGCGUUAAUCGGAAUACCGGGCGUAAAGCGUGCGCAGGCGGUUCGGAAAGAAAGGUGUGAAAUCCCAGGGCUUAACCUUGGAACUGCACUUUUAACUACCGACUAGAGUACGUCAGAGGGGGGUAGAAUUCCACGUGUAGCAGUGAAAUGCGUAGAGAUGUGGAGGAAUACCGAUGGCGAAGGCAGCCCCCUGGGAUGAUACUGACGCUCAUGCACGAAAGCGUGGGGAGCAAACAGGAUUAGAUACCCUGGUAGUCCACGCCCUAAACGAUGUCAACUAGCUGUUGGGGGUUUAUUAACCUUAGUAGCGCAGCUAACGCGUGAAGUUGA